Molecule: ribosomal RNA, 497 nt
Filed under: uncultured bacterium
Lineage: Bacteria
Description: partial 16S ribosomal RNA
Rfam family: Bacterial small subunit ribosomal RNA
Source: RNAcentral
GAUGAACGCUGGCGGCGUGCCUAAUACAUGCAAGUCGAGCGAACAGACGAGGAGCUUGCUCCUCUGACGUUAGCGGCGGACGGGUGAGUAACACGUGGAUAACCUACCUAUAAGACUGGGAUAACUUCGGGAAACCGGAGCUAAUACCGGAUAAUAUAUUGAACCGCAUGGUUCAAUAGUGAAAGACGGUUUUGCUGUCACUUAUAGAUGGAUCCGCGCCGCAUUAGCUAGUUGGUAAGGUAACGGCUUACCAAGGCGACGAUGCGUAGCCGACCUGAGAGGGUGAUCGGCCACACUGGAACUGAGACACGGUCCAGACUCCUACGGGAGGCAGCAGUAGGGAAUCUUCCGCAAUGGGCGAAAGCCUGACGGAGCAACGCCGCGUGAGUGAUGAAGGUCUUCGGAUCGUAAAACUCUGUUAUUAGGGAAGAACAAAUGUGUAAGUAACUAUGCACGUUUUGACGGUACCUAAUCAGAAAGCCACGGCUAACUACGUG